Molecule: long non-coding RNA, 3009 nt
Organism: Gallus gallus (chicken)
Lineage: Eukaryota; Metazoa; Chordata; Aves; Galliformes; Phasianidae
Exons: 3
Source: RefSeq, a predicted model, not a curated record
GGGGCUGUUCUGAGCUGCAGGCUCGCUGCAGCCCCGUGGCAUAGCCUUGCAUCUGGUGACGGACUGAAGCUGGAGAAUCCUGGCAGCAGAGGACGCUCCUGCCCCACAGAAGGGCUCACAGCUCCACCGCAGCUCCACCGACCUCAGUGCUGGUGAGGAGGCUGAGAUGCCUCCAAGUGAUGAAUGCAGUCCACCCAACCUUACACCUCGUGUGGUUCACUGUGCGAGGCGACCAGGAAGAAAGGUGGGCACAGGAUAUUUUACAGGUUCUGACUCAGGUUCCGAGAUUUUAAGUUUACCGUCUGGAAUUAAAGCCUUCUUCAACUGCCUGUUCUGCCACCUGAUCCGCCAUCUUAUCUCCAGUUUCCCGUACAGUGCUACCUUUCUGAUGUCCUUUACAGAGUAUAAUAGCCAUGCUCUUUGGUAGGCGUACAUCAUACUGAAUGUUUUCCUUGUGUGUGAGCAAUCCUUGCUCUUUCCAGAUGGCACUAUGAGCGUGUUCCACCCCAAAAGCAUGUUUAGCAUCUGACCAUGUAUUUAAGGCUCUUGUCAAGGCAGUUAUUGCAGCCUUCUGAGCCAAGUCCCCACAGGCAAUGGUUGUUCGAUUACCUGGUCAGUAGCAGUUACUGCAUAUCCUGCCUUACGGUUGCCUUGUCUCACAACACUGCUUCUGUCGGAUGAACCCAGGAAUCCUCAGCACUGUCCAAUGGUUCCUCCUGUAGGUCUGGCCGACUGGCACAGUCAGUCUCCAAGCAGUCGCACGCUGCCGGUUUGGAGGUAGCUCUGUGUUGGUGUUAGAAGCAUGGAAUGGCCUGGGUUGAGAAGGACCUCAAAGAUCGUCCAGUUCCAACCCCCUGCUAUGUGCAGGGUCACCAACCGACGGACCAGGCUGCCCAGAGCCUUGUCUUGAAGAAGAUUGUUUUUAGGAGAACAAAAACUUUGGAUCACCUUUCAAAUACAGAGAAAAAAAUAACGCUGUAUUAUUUUUUUGUUUUAUUUUCCUGUUGUUAUGAUCAGGUAAAGAGACAGACAUAUCACAUCUCAGAAAUGGCUUUACUUCAGUGGCCUUAAAUGGUCCCUCUGUGAUCAUUAUUUUCUUAUUGAAUCGCUGUCAGACACAGCUGGUGGAUUUUGGACGUGCAGUUUGGAGUUCCUGGCUAAAAUGAACCACAUGAAUACGGAUUACGGAUAUUCUUAUCUCAGCACGCUUUUGAGAUGGAGCAUUCAAAUUACAAGACCUUCAGUCUGCUGUUUUAAUCUGACCCAGAAGGAAAACUUCACUACAGUUCGUUUCCUUGAUUCCCGUGCAAUUUUAUUUUGGAACUGAAGCUCAAUCGAUUUAAACAACUUUUUUGAAAGUCUGUAAUGAAAGUUGCAUUUUUGCUUACACGUAGCCGCUUUGACCCACGGUGAAUGGAAGUCAUAAAGCAGGGUAUAAAGGGAGUUUCUAAAUUGCCUGUUGUUGAGGCCAUUGAAGGCAACAGGAGAGUCCAGAAUGUGACCUUUGAGAGCAAAUUUGCCUCUGCUUCUUACUGAAUUUUGUGUUGCGUUUUUCUGUAUAUAUAUUUUUUUGACUCAGAAAUACAAAUUAUAAUGAAGGUGAGGCACUUCACAAUACAUUUGGCUUCAGCAUUGCUGAAUAUACAUUUGUAUAUGUAUAUAUAUAUGUAUAUAUAUUAUAUAUAUAUGUAUGUAUAUGUAUAUGCAUUGUACAGCAAAACAUUUCAGAAUCUGCAGAACGUUGCUAAUAACUGCAGUGGAACAGGGAGGAAUAGUGAAAACAGAUUUCUGCUUUGAAUGCUUUCAAAUUUAAUAAUUAAUGCAUUUUAUUUUUACUUGUAUAGGAUUAUCAUGAACUCUAGAUAGGUAGUUACAUUUGAAAAUGCUAAGUGAGAUAGCAAAACUGAAUCAUAAACACAGGAAACAGAUUCUGCACUCAUUUGCUUGCAUUUCUGUCCUGCUGGCAUGCUCUUUGUACUUUCUACCAUUUCAGAAUCACAGGAGCUAAAAUAGUCUGAAAAAGAAGAGUCCAAAUCCUUGCCUUUGGAAGGCCCAGCUCGUUACCCAACUCCUGAGCAAAGAAAAAGAAUAAAGGCUUCAGUCACCACACAUACUCACACUGGGAGACUUCAGCCUCAGCGUGACUGUCAGCCCUGUGGACACGCUGGCUGUCACUGUGCCCACCGUCUGCCACAACAUCACCUGCAGCCUCUGUGGAACUUCAAUGGCCGUCUCCACACCGACCGCCUCAUCCAGAGCAGCACUGCCACGGGUCACCGCCUCAGUCCCGGUCCCAGGUGUCCCCUGUGCCGGCAAUCCCCCAGCAGUGAGUGAGUGGGCAGUGGACACAACCUGGGCUUCUCGCCGGGCCCUGCACGGGUGGUGGCAGUGUUCCAGGGGCACCGCCUCCGGCCCCACCCAUCCCUCUCCAAAAACGAGCUGAUGCUGUUCUCCUGGUUUGAGCGGCGCUGUGUACGGACUGUGCGACUGCCCGAGGGGAACCUUCCAACCUACUGCCUGAACUGAACUGAACUGAACUUCGGUGUCACGAGCGCGGCUGCAGAUAUGCAGUAACCGGACUGAAACUGCAACUAUCGGAAGACCCACAUGCAGAACAAACCGUACAGUGCACAGAUUCAGUGCACUCAUCACUGCAGUGAUGAAGGAACUCGGCAACGGGGCCGCUGUUGUGUUUUGGUAACAGUGAGGAGGCACCAGCAACGAGCUGUGGAUUGGCUGCCCCCCCUGCGCUGCACUGUGCAUUCACGCGCUGGCCACGCGUAGAGUGCGUGAUCCGGCUCAGGGCAUACAGACAUGUCAGGAGGGCAGCAGGGUGAGGUAACUCAGGCAGAGGACACCGCUGCCUCCAUGGGGAUGCCCGCAAGCCCUGAGCCAACCAGUCCCUCCCCUUACAGCCAAUCCGAGCUGUGCUGGCUGAUGGUCCUUUUGGGACCUCUUGGCGGAUCGGUAGCUGUGCACUGCAGUGCUUAAACGCUCGCUUUGGCCGAC